This 301-nucleotide ribosomal RNA is filed under the name uncultured bacterium. RNAcentral's name for it is "partial 16S ribosomal RNA". It matches the Rfam family "Bacterial small subunit ribosomal RNA", at positions 509 to 807 of the family's 1533-position model. The record is from RNAcentral.
CAGUCGCCACGGUAAUACGAAGGGUGCAAGCGUUAAUCGGAAUUACUGGGCGUAAAGCGUGCGUAGGCGGUGAGUUAAGUCUGUUGUGAAAUCCCCGGGCUCAACCUGGGAAUGGCAAUGGAUACUGGCAAGCUAGAGUGUGUCAGAGGAUGGUGGAAUUCCCGGUGUAGCGGUGAAAUGCGUAGAGAUCGGGAGGAACAUCAGUGGCGAAGGCGGCCAUCUGGGACAACACUGACGCUGAGGCACGAAAGCGUGGGGAGCAAACAGGAUUAGAUACCCGCGUAGUCCCUGUCUCUUAUAC